RNAcentral lists this long non-coding RNA (274 nucleotides) under Lathyrus oleraceus (garden pea). RNAcentral's name for it is "Pisum sativum (pea) long non-coding RNA (PSAT_LNC003361)". The record is from RNAcentral. Lineage: Eukaryota; Viridiplantae; Streptophyta; Magnoliopsida; Fabales; Fabaceae.
ACACUUUUAUGGUGAACGAACAAAGGUUGAAAAUAUAUUCAGGAGGUGAAAUACCAGCUGAAAAGGAGCGCUUAAUGGGAGGCAACCCAUCAGAUAAAUCUUUUAUUUCAUUCGCACUUUAAAUUUCAUGUUAUUUAGGUUAAUCGUAUUUUUUUUUGUAACAUGUUGUUUGUUGAAGUGGUAUGAGAAAGAUAGAAAAAAGAAUGGAAGGAAAAAUGAAAGAAUAUGAAAAAUUGGAGGAAAAAAAAGGAUUUUGGCCCCUGGAUUUUUCGCG